ACUGCAAGUCGAGCGAACGGACGAGAAGCUUGCUUCUCUGAUGUUAGCGGCGGACGGGUGAGUAACACGUGGAUAACCUACCUAUAAGACUGGGAUAACUUCGGGAAACCGGAGCUAAUACCGGAUAAUAUUUUGAACCGCAUGGUUCAAAAGUGAAAGACGGUCUUGCUGUCACUUAUAGAUGGAUCCGCGCUGCAUUAGCUAGUUGGUAAGGUAACGGCUUACCAAGGCAACGAUGCAUAGCCGACCUGAGAGGGUGAUCGGCCACACUGGAACUGAGACACGGUCCAGACUCCUACGGGAGGCAGCAGUAGGGAAUCUUCCGCAAUGGGCGAAAGCCUGACGGAGCAACGCCGCGUGAGUGAUGAAGGUCUUCGGAUCGUAAAACUCUGUUAUUAGGGAAGAACAUAUGUGUAAGUAACUGUGCACAUCUUGACGGUACCUAAUCAGAAAGCCACGGCUAACU
This 466-nucleotide ribosomal RNA is filed under the name Staphylococcus aureus. RNAcentral describes it as "bacterial SSU rRNA". It matches the Rfam family "Bacterial small subunit ribosomal RNA", at positions 53 to 502 of the family's 1533-position model. The record is from RNAcentral. Lineage: Bacteria; Bacillati; Bacillota; Bacilli; Caryophanales; Staphylococcaceae.